UGAAGUAUUCUCGUACUCUCAGUGAA
This 26-nucleotide unclassified non-coding RNA is filed under the name Mus musculus (house mouse). RNAcentral's name for it is "oocyte_clustered_small_RNA11689". The record is from RNAcentral. Lineage: Eukaryota; Metazoa; Chordata; Mammalia; Rodentia; Muridae.